UACAGAGGGGCAAGCGUUGUCCGGAAUCACUGGGCGUAAAGAGCGUGUAGGCGGCCGUACAGGUCAGACCUGUGAAAACUCGAGGGCUCAACCUCGAGACGUCGGUUGAAACCGUACGGCUAGAGUCCGGAAGACGGAGAGUGGAAUUCCCGGAUGGUAGCGGUGAAAUGGCGGCAGAUAUCGGGGAAGAACACCCGUGGCGAAGGCGGCUGCUCUGGGACGGUACUGACGCUGAGACGGCGAA
This 244-nucleotide ribosomal RNA is filed under the name uncultured bacterium. RNAcentral describes it as "partial 16S ribosomal RNA". It matches the Rfam family "Bacterial small subunit ribosomal RNA", at positions 524 to 757 of the family's 1533-position model. The record is from RNAcentral.